UCGAACCUGCAGCAGGUUCGAGUUGAGCGCAGCGAAACAACGGAGCCGCUCGCGGCGACGGCCCGAAGGGCGAGCGAAGCGAGUCAUCCUGCACGACCCACCA
This 103-nucleotide small RNA is filed under the name Escherichia coli. Its description in RNAcentral is "partial RtT sRNA". It matches the Rfam family "RtT RNA", at positions 24 to 130 of the family's 130-position model. Rfam says of the family: This family represents a bacterial cis-regulatory element known as RtT RNA. The exact function of RtT is unknown although it is thought that it may be involved in changing the cellular response in relation to amino acid starvation. RNAcentral also lists the same sequence under 1 other name. Lineage: Bacteria; Pseudomonadati; Pseudomonadota; Gammaproteobacteria; Enterobacterales; Enterobacteriaceae. The record is from RNAcentral.